GAUGAAGGCUGGCGGCGUGCUUAACACAUGCGAGUCGAACGGAAAGGCCCAAGCUUGCUUGGGUACUCGAGUGGCGAACGGGUGAGUAACACGUGGGUGAUCUGCCCUGCACUUCGGGAUAAGCCUGGGAAACUGGGUCUAAUACCGGAUAGGACGAUGGUUUGGAUGCCAUUGUGGAAAGUUUUUUCGGUGUGGGAUGAGCUCGCGGCCUAUCAGCUUGUUGGUGGGGUAAUGGCCUACCAAGGCGUCGACGGGUAGCCGGCCUGAGAGGGUGUACGGCCACAUUGGGACUGAGAUACGGCCCAGACUCCUACGGGAGGCAGCAGUGGGGAAUAUUGCACAAUGGGCGCAAGCCUGAUGCAGCGACGCCGCGUGGGGGAUGACGGCCUUCGGGUUGUAAACUCCUUUCGCUAGGGACGAAGCGUUUUUGUGACGGUACCUGGAGAAGAAGCACCGGCUAACUACGUG
This 468-nucleotide ribosomal RNA is filed under the name uncultured bacterium. RNAcentral's name for it is "partial 16S ribosomal RNA". It matches the Rfam family "Bacterial small subunit ribosomal RNA", at positions 28 to 507 of the family's 1533-position model. The record is from RNAcentral.